AGAGAUACCGAGAUAACCGCCUGCGAGGAGGCGCUUCGUGAACCCAGUGCAGUGCGUCGUGGGUCAGAUCCCUUAGACCCACGUAGGGACCGCGCUACAUCCUUACCGGGGGGAGUUACUUCUCUGGAAGACAUUUCAGUUGUUGGGAUUGAAAGUUAGGGCAAGAACUGCAGCAUGUCUUAUCUAUCCUCUCUCUUUAGUUUGGGUUCUGCAAAUUUCAUUAAUGUUUGAAAUAAACGCACGCUUUAACAGUACAUGUGUCAUCUCAGAUGACGCAUAAGAGCUUUUGUCUCCUUCCUGGUGUUUUAUGAUCUUAAAAGCAAAUAUCACGUGUGUGUGUGUGUGUGUGUGUGUGUGUGUGUGUGUGUGUGUGUGUUUCAACGUAGUGGAGCCAGGUGUUGGGUGCGGGAACAGACCAUUGCCAAGGGUCAAUUCAGUGUUUAUUUUAGUUAACAGUGUUGCAAUCCCCCAUCCUUUCUCUCUUUGAAAUCUUGGAACAUCUCGAACUCUAGUAAUUCCAGUAGCAUCAAUUUUUUGUUGUAUGGAAGUCUGUGUUUUGAUCCAUGGAAGUCACUGGGAGCUGCGAGGGGCCUGUUGGGCUCAGGAGGUCUGCCUUUUCUAGUGCUGUCCCUGGGCAGAAAAGGCCAUAGACACCACCAGAAAAGGAGCAGGGAAUGAGACUCCGCUUGUUUACUACUCUAAGCACAAGCAGACAUGUCUGAUAUAUACAUACUAGAUUGCUAACAUAAUUGCAUUUCCAUGCCAUAUGUAUUUACCAGCAUCCUGGGAUUGGUUCCCUCUAGAGAAACAGCUAUCGAGGAAAUUUUAGUUCUAGAGGAAUGUCAAUAAAGCAUUUCCAAGCCUGUUUAGCUGAUGCCUUCUCACUGGAUUACUGACUUUUCAUCAUCAAUUUCAAUGACCCCCUCUCUUUAAAAAUUAAGCUGUAGGCCUACAAUACUCUGUCUUAAUUCUUCCUGGUGGAUGCAGACUUCAGGGAUAUGGAGAUAUUCUGCCACUGCUAUGAGAAGGGCUGGGAGUGGCACGAGGAUGAAGAAGUGGGACUACCUUAGGAAUAGAGUGUUCCCUGGAUGCUGCAGCUGUAGAGAUCACUUGAUAAGGAUGUCAGGGCUGAAGUUUCAGCCAUACCACUAACUUGCUUCAUGACCCUUGGUAAUUUAU
Molecule: long non-coding RNA, 1179 nt
Filed under: Homo sapiens (human)
Lineage: Eukaryota; Metazoa; Chordata; Mammalia; Primates; Hominidae
Description: non-protein coding lnc-MTHFD2L-3:1
Source: RNAcentral